GAUGAACGCUGGCGGCGUGCCUAAUACAUGCAAGUCGAGCGAACAGACGAGGCGCUUGCUCCUCUGACGUUAGCGGCGGACGGGUGAGUACCACGUGGAUAACCUACCUAUAAGACUGGGAUCACUUCGGGAAACCGGAGCUAAUACCGGAUAAUAUAUUGAACCGCAUGGUUCAAUAGUGAAAGACGGUUUUGCUGUCACUUAUAGAUGGAUCCGCGCCGCAUUAGCUAGUUGGUAAGGUAACGGCUUACCAAGGCGACGAUGCGUAGCCGACCUGAGAGGGUGAUCAGCCACACUGGAACUGAGACACGGUCCAGACUCCUACGGGAGGCAGCAGUAGGGAAUCUUCCGCAAUGGGCGAAAGCCUGACGGAGCAACGCCGCGUGAGUGAUGAAGGUCUUCGGAUCGUAAAACUCUGUUAUUAGGGAAGAACAAAUGUGUAAUUAACUAUGCACGUCUUGACGGUACCUAAACAGAAAGCCACGGCUAACUACGUG
Molecule: ribosomal RNA, 497 nt
Filed under: uncultured bacterium
Lineage: Bacteria
Description: partial 16S ribosomal RNA
Rfam family: Bacterial small subunit ribosomal RNA
Source: RNAcentral